GCCGAGGUGGUGAAAUUGGCAGACGCAGAGGACUCAAAAUCCUCCGGACUUCGGUCCUUGCGGGUUCGACUCCCGCCCUCGGUA
This 84-nucleotide transfer RNA is filed under the name Fidelibacterota bacterium. RNAcentral's name for it is "tRNA-Leu". It matches the Rfam family "tRNA". From Rfam's summary of the family: Transfer RNA (tRNA) molecules are approximately 80 nucleotides in length. The record is from RNAcentral. RNAcentral also lists the same sequence under 1 other name. Lineage: Bacteria; Pseudomonadati; Fidelibacterota.